RNAcentral lists this unclassified non-coding RNA (245 nucleotides) under uncultured Russula. RNAcentral describes it as "sequence contains ITS2". Lineage: Eukaryota; Fungi; Basidiomycota; Agaricomycetes; Russulales; Russulaceae. The record is from RNAcentral.
AAUUCUCAAAACCCCUUCCUUUGCCGGAAUGGAUUUUGGACUUGGAGGCCUUUUGCUGGUUUCACCUCGAAGCCAGCUCCUCCUAAAUGGAUUAGUGGGGUCUGCUUUGCCGAUCCUUGACGUGAUAAGAUGCUUCUACGUCUCGGGUUUUGGCACUGUGCCUCUGCUUCUACCCGUCUCUUUUGACGACGAUGGUGUCCCGGUCACCGCCGAUUCUUCGGUGGGAGGCUUGACCCACAAAACGA